GCCUAACACAUGCAAGUCGAACGGUAACAGGAAGAAGCUUGCUUCUUUGCUGACGAGUGGCGGACGGGUGAGUAAUGUCUGGGAAACUGCCUGAUGGAGGGGGAUAACUACUGGAAACGGUAGCUAAUACCGCAUAACGUCGCAAGACCAAAGAGGGGGACCUUCGGGCCUCUUGCCAUCGGAUGUGCCCAGAUGGGAUUAGCUAGUAGGUGGGGUAACGGCUCACCUAGGCGACGAUCCCUAGCUGGUCUGAGAGGAUGACCAGCCACACUGGAACUGAGACACGGUCCAGACUCCUACGGGAGGCAGCAGUGGGGAAUAUUGCACAAUGGGCGCAAGCCUGAUGCAGCCAUGCCGCGUGUAUGAAGAAGGCCUUCGGGUUGUAAAGUACUUUCAGCGGGGAGGAAGGGAGUAAAGUUAAUACCUUUGCUCAUUGACGUUACCCGCAGAAGAAGCACCGGCUAACUCCGUGCCAGCAGCCGCGGUAAUACGGAGGGUGCAAGCGUUAAUCGGAAUUACUGGGCGUAAAGCGCACGCAGGCGGUUUGUUAAGUCAGAUGUGAAAUCCCCGGGCUCAACCUGGGAACUGCAUCUGAUACUGGCAAGCUUGAGUCUCGUAGAGGGGGGUAGAAUUCCAGGUGUAGCGGUGAAAUGCGUAGAGAUCUGGAGGAAUACCGGUGGCGAAGGCGGCCCCCUGGACGAAGACUGACGCUCAGGUGCGAAAGCGUGGGGAGCAA
RNAcentral lists this ribosomal RNA (736 nucleotides) under uncultured Pseudomonadota bacterium. RNAcentral describes it as "bacterial SSU rRNA". It matches the Rfam family "Bacterial small subunit ribosomal RNA", at positions 46 to 771 of the family's 1533-position model. Lineage: Bacteria; Pseudomonadati; Pseudomonadota. The record is from RNAcentral.